CAGUAGCCACGGUAAUACGUAGGUGGCAAGCGUUGUCCGGAAUUAUUGGGCGUAAAGGGCUCGCAGGCGGUUUCUUAAGUCUGAUGUGAAAGCCCCCGGCUCAACCGGGGAGGGUCAUUGGAAACUGGGAAACUUGAAUGCAGAAGAGGAGAGUGGAAUUCCACGUGUAGCGGUGAAAUGCGUAGAGAUGUGGAGGAACACCAGUGGCGAAGGCGACUCUCUGGUCCGUAACUGACGCUGAGGAGCGAAAGCGUGGGGAGCGAACAGGAUUAGAUACCCCGGUAGUCCCUGUCUCUUAUAC
Molecule: ribosomal RNA, 301 nt
Filed under: uncultured bacterium
Lineage: Bacteria
Description: partial 16S ribosomal RNA
Rfam family: Bacterial small subunit ribosomal RNA
Source: RNAcentral